This 495-nucleotide ribosomal RNA is filed under the name uncultured bacterium. RNAcentral's name for it is "partial 16S ribosomal RNA". It matches the Rfam family "Bacterial small subunit ribosomal RNA", at positions 28 to 507 of the family's 1533-position model. The record is from RNAcentral.
GACGAACGCUGGCGGCGUGCCUAAUACAUGCAAGUCGAACGCUGAAGCCCGAGCUUGCUCUUCUGGAUGAGUUGCGAACGGGUGAGUAACGCGUAGGUAACCUGCCUGGUAGUGUGGGAUAACUAUUGGAAACGAUAGCUAAUACCGCAUAACAGUUGAUGUUGCAUGACAUUUACUUAAAAGUUUCAAUUGCAUCACUACCAUAUGGACCUGCGUUGUAUUAGCUAGUUGGUGGGGUAACGGCUCACCAAGGCGAGGAUACAUAGCCGACCUGCGAGGGGGAUCGGCCACACUGGGACUGAGACAGGGCCCAGACUGCUAGGGGAGGCAGCAGUAGGGAAUCUGCGGCAAUGGACGGAAGUAUGACCGAGCAACGCAGCGUGAGGGAAGAAGGGUGUCGGAUCGUAAAGCACGGUUGUAAGAGAAGAACGAGUGUGAGAGUGGAAAGUUCACAAUGUGACGGUAUAUUAACAGAAAGGGACGGCUAACUACGUG